GGGCUUGUACUGGUUUCGACGGGGACACGGAAGUUAGAGUAGCCAUCCGUAGUGGGACACUACGUUAAAAGUUCCAAAUUAAAUUAUAAACGCAGACGAAAAUUUAGCGUACGCAGCCUAGUGGCUGCAGUCGACCUUAGGUAUUCCGCAGCUUAAGACUCGGCUUCAAGAACGCGGAGCACUUUGUACUCAAAGCUUUGCGAGUAUAAAAGAAUUUAUGAAGCUACUAAAUCUUAAAACCUGUCAUUAGGUGUUAAGAAGAGGGAAUGUCAAAAUAAUGACUAUGAUGGAAGAAGCUUUAAUGAAAGAGUUUUCGGACGCGGGUUCGACUCCCGCCAGGUCCAU
Molecule: transfer-messenger RNA, 345 nt
Rfam family: transfer-messenger RNA
About the family: Bacterial tmRNA, also known as 10Sa RNA or SsrA, is named for its dual tRNA and mRNA-like properties. Its role is to liberate the mRNA from a stalled ribosome.